AUGAAGAACGCAGUGAAAUGCGAUACGUAAUGUGAAUUGCAGAAUUCAGUGAAUCAUCGAGUCUUUGAACGCACAUUGCGCCCCCUGGUAUUCCGGGGGGCAUGCCUGUCCGAGCGUCAUUGCUGCCCUCAAGCACGGCUUGUGUGUUGGGCCUCCGCCCCCCGGCUCCCGGGGGGCGGGCCCGAAAGGCAGCGGCGGCACCGCGUCCGGUCCUCGAGCGUAUGGGGCUUCGUCACCCGCUCCGUAGGCCCGGCCGGCGCCCGCCGGCGACCCCCCUCAAUCUUUCCAGGUUGACCUCGGAUCAGGUAGGGAUACCCGCUGAACUUAAGCAUAUCAAUAAGCGGAGGA
Molecule: unclassified non-coding RNA, 348 nt
Filed under: soil metagenome
Description: partial contains 5.8S ribosomal RNA, internal transcribed spacer 2, and large subunit ribosomal RNA
Rfam family: 5.8S ribosomal RNA (bases 1-119)
Source: RNAcentral